RNAcentral lists this non-coding RNA (24 nucleotides) under Arabidopsis thaliana (thale cress). Lineage: Eukaryota; Viridiplantae; Streptophyta; Magnoliopsida; Brassicales; Brassicaceae. The record is from RNAcentral.
AGCAAUGAGUGGAGAGACUCAUAU